Molecule: long non-coding RNA, 1347 nt
Filed under: Felis catus (domestic cat)
Lineage: Eukaryota; Metazoa; Chordata; Mammalia; Carnivora; Felidae
Description: lncRNA (ENSFCAG00000041518.2)
Source: RNAcentral
GUACAGCCUCAAGUAUAUCAAGAUCAAUGAAUCAAAGAAAUGUCUUUAAGAAACUAAGAGAAAUUAAGUUUCUUUCUGAUGAAGCUCUUAAAUUAAAGGAGGACAUCAAAACAGUUGAAUAUUUUAAUGAAAUUUUAAGUGACAGUCUUCAAAGUGCACGUGUUACCUUGCAAUCUGAGAGAGAGAAGAAUGUCAAGAAUAAGGACUUGGUAAGAGUUGACUGCUGAUUUUUACUGUAAUUUGGCUUUGGAGGCUUUUUGUUCAUUGGGUGAGGUGAGCACAGUAUGUUCACUUGCUGUUUACCACAGUAGAGAUUGGGCCUCUGGGAGCCAAAUCUCCAUCUGCAAUGUGAGCUGGAAUUUCACUAGGACCACCAUGAGGAGUUUUGCUAUUUCAAGGACUAAGAAGUACCUUGUGUUUUCACAACUAGGUAAUUAUCACAUCAUUUCAGCUCUGCCCUCCAAGAUAUGAAGAAAAUUCUAGAAGAUAUUUGAGAGAUGAAGGGUGAUUACUAGCCAAAUUGUAUAGUCCCUUCCUGUCUUAAUGCUGAACAGAUAAUUUUCAAUGUGAAUAGGGAAGGAGAUAUCUAUUAUCUAUCUAUCUAUUGAUAUACAUUCCACUAAGAAAGCCAUUUGUGAGCUCUUUGAUUUAAACUAUUUUCUACCAAGUUGGCUUUCUCCUUGUUAUAUAUAUGCCUCAGGAUCUUUCUCUGUUGCAGUGUACAAUCAUGUUGUGUUAGGUGCAUUCACAUUGUUUGUGAUCAUUAUUUCUUGAAUGUCUUUUCUCAUAUCUGUCUUAAAGUCACAAGAUGGAAAUGGUGAAUUCGAGGAUUGAGAGCUGAGAACCUUGAGGUCCAAUAACUGUGAACUGGAAGGUAUGCUGUCUGUUGGGGAGAAAUCCCCAUAUGAGUACCUGACUUUGCAUUGGGAAGGGAAAGAAUGCCUUCUUGUCUUCAUGGUUCUUGCCCUUUUCCUGUCACACCAAAGCCAACUCUCAGGUCAUGUGCACACUUAUAAAGAAAAUCCAUUUUUUACAGAAAACAAAAAGGCCUUAGAAGACAAGUGUAAUGCAUUGAGGUCUGUGAAAGCAAUCAAGGAAGCAAAAGUCAAACAGCUGAAGGAGAAAGCACAUAUCCUUGAAGAAUUCUAUAAACAAAGAAGAGUGGCUGCAGAAGAGAAACUGAAAAUGGCACAAUGUGAACUGGUGGCAAUUGAGAAUCAACUUGAAGCUACGGAGGAAAAUUUGAAAAUAGCUGACGAGGAAAUAUACAAGUACAAGCAGCAAAUUGAACAAACACAAGAACAGCUGCAGCAGGCAGAGCUCACCUUCAGACACCAGGUAAUCUGA